UCACCAAUUAUGUGAUUGUCUCUCAAUAUAUUAUUUUAUUUUCUCUAAGCUGUUAUGGUUAUUUGUGUUUGCCAAAUGCUUUUAGGUUUUGAUAUUCAGUCAGUGGACCAAAGUGUUAGACAUACUGGAUUACUAUUUUAGUGAGAAAGGCUUUGAAGUUUGUGAAAUUGAUGGUAGUGUUAGACAUACUGCAUUAGCAUGAGCCGUUAAUCUAGAUUUAUUUGUUGCUCUUGUUAUAAGUUUUAUAUACUUCUUUAGAUUUUUAAUCCAAUAAUCUAGAAUUAUU
Non-coding RNA from Arachis ipaensis, 286 nucleotides. NCBI's taxonomy places the organism in Eukaryota, Viridiplantae, Streptophyta, Magnoliopsida, Fabales, Fabaceae. The record is from RefSeq and is a predicted model, not a curated record.